GAGUGCCAGCUCUGUGGUGGCCGUGGCCGUGCUGGAGGGACAGCUGCUUUCUGUGACAGCCUGCAGUUGUUAUGUGGAGCCCAGUCAAAACAAAAUGAAACAGUAAUUAAGAUUUAUGAAAUAAUUGUCUCACAAAAGCCUGCUGAAAAGGAGAAGCGAUAAUGAAAAGGCUGAAAGAAAAGGAAUUGCUUGUUCCUGGGACAACUGAGAAUGUAGCAGCAGGUUCUUUUCUGCAGGAAAAUUUAACAGCCAAGUGCUGUCUGCCUACAUGGAGACCCCAUUGUGCUUAACUUUGGGAGAAACAACUGCUGUCUCAUAUCCAAUUCCAACAUUUCACAAAGCAUUUCCUGAGGAAUUCAGUCUUCUCAGCCUGCCCUGCUGCUGUCUAUCCAGGCAGGUCAAAUCCAUGUUCCCUGGGCCUCCAGCAAGGGUAUCUGCUCUGCCUGACAUCAGCCCAGGUCAGUCUUCCCCCAGUCUUCACAGCAUUCCUGCAGACAGUGAGCCUGCUCUCCAGCCCUGCAUGGAAAGGACAAGGUGUCUAAGAACAUUUGGAAAGGAGCUUGAUGUAUGGAAGCUCUUAAAUGUCCCUGAAAUUUCUGCUGGCCUUUUUCCUUCAGUCAGGCUCAGUUAUUUUUGCCUUGGUUCAAUAGAUUUUUGAAUUCACUCAUAACCUUUGGAAAAUGCAUCACAAACAACCCAAAAUACAGGCUGUUUUGGAGUUUGCUUUUUCUCCCUGAGUAAGGACAAGUGUGAGGUUAAAUGGAAAAGCAGCUGUGGAUUUCAAAGGGAGUCAGAUGUUCAGGGAUGCUCUGCCAGCACCUGGUGUAGGGAGAGCUGGUACCUCAGUAAAAAUGCUGUAGAGAUUUCAUUUCCAUGGCAAGUGUUCCACAAGUGGGACAUGCCCAGGAAUAAUUGCCAGCUUUGUCAGGCAGAGGGAAUCUGGAGGAAUGGCAGUACUGCGGGAAGGAGGAGAAACCCUGGCAGCAGAGGGAGUGGCAGGGCUGAGCAGCACCAAUAGGGAGCACCAGUAGUAGGGAAGGGGAGUAAUCCACACACUGGUGUGGAAAGUGAAAUGGUUUUCUAAAGGACAGAAGCUGGAGUGGGAAUGACAAGCACAUACAAUUACAGGUGGCUGCUGAGAGCAAAAUGCACCAUUAUUUGGCCAAAGAGUAACUCUGUCUGGUGAAAUCUCUUCUGGCAGCAUACAGCUCUUGAAACUCAGCAAUUUCCCACAUUUUCCCUGUGUUUCAUGAAGAGACAUGUAAAGAAUCAUCAGUUCUUCUCAGCAGCUCUGUGUGUGCAGCAGAGCACAAGCUGAGUGUGAGAUCCACAAACCUUCUACAGCCGCAAUCGAUUCUAGCUCCGUGUUAAUAGUCAGUACAGCACGAGGAAUAAAGGACAGCAAGAAUGGAAUGUUUACAUGAGGAAUUACUUUAACAAACUAAAUCAAUUGGUCAUAGCACAAAAUUUCACAGGGGUAUGACUCUGUCAAACUUGACAUACAUACCUUGAACAAGCCAGAGGAGGAGUGAGAGCAACAAAGAGGCACCAGAGCAGAUAUCUGUGCAAUGACUGGAGCAGGAAUGGUUUAGUUUUUAGACAAAAAUUUAUAUGAACAAGCAACAACCUGAUCUGUUUUUCAGAACAAUAGUCUGUAGCAGCAGAAAGGGGAGGAUUUACUCUCCCUGAGCAAUGUAAUUUCUGAGAGUUAACGCACCUCAGCACUUCUGGGCUGCUGCUAAUUCAACAGUGAUGCUCAAAAGUUUGCUCCAGUGAGAUCAAUAAAUGCCCUGAAGGGGAUGGAUGUCAGUCCUUGUGCACCAGGGUUCACUCACUUGGAGGUAAAGCAGGAUAAUUACUGAUUGUCCCAGCUACGUGAUCCCUAAAGUGGAUGAGAAAGAGUGAGAGACUACCAGGAAAUCCGAGUUACACUAGCUCAAAUCUGGUACUUGUUUCAAAGAAAAAGACUUUACAAGCCCAGAUGAAAUGCUUCUGAUUCAUCUGGAAAUUCUGGAAUUCAUACCAGAAGUGUUGCCUGAACUGAGCCCUUCUCUCCAAUGCCAAGCUCAGGCUGUGCCCUAAGUUAAAGAUGUUUUGGUUCACACCCUAGAAGUGAGAAUUUCAGCUCAAAACAGGCUCUCUCCCUCACUUUUUGGGAGGACUUGGUGCCUCCCCCAUCCUUGGGAUGGCUCUAGGGGAAUAAAAGGAAGUUUGGGGGGCCAUCCCUCCUGGCUGGCAGUGUGGCAGACAGGCACUUUUAUGGAGUGUUAAAUUUUCACAACCCUGUUGUAUUUCUUUUCUCCCUCUGUGAAAUAAUGACAAUCAUAAAACCUUGGAUUGAAAGAUUAUCUAGAAUUAUUACAGAAAAAUAUAAUUUAAGGGAAAAAUGGAGUACUAGCAAGGUAUACCAACUUUGUAAUGCAAAUAAGACAACAUUUUCACUGAGACUGCAAAUCAAUUUCUUAGUAUUAAUUAUUUUCCCACAUUCUUAUUAAUUUUACAUUUCAUAUCUUGGAUAUAACUACUUAGGAAUACUUGGAUUUAUGUCAUGAGGUCCUAAAAGCUGUAGCUGGAGUCACUAUAACAAAAUAUAACUUGAUGAACAAAUAAAUUUAAUUUUAUUGUUAACAUAUAAAUAGCAGAUUACCAUUGCAAAUAAACAGUGGAUUGUUAAUAAAUUCAAGACUGCAGCUUGUCUUUGUUCUUAACACAUUUUAGUUGCUGGGCAGUUAUUCUUGAGUUUAAUUACACACAAUGGGAAAUAGGAUGUCUG
Long non-coding RNA from Taeniopygia guttata (zebra finch), 2773 nucleotides. The record is from Ensembl. NCBI's taxonomy places the organism in Eukaryota, Metazoa, Chordata, Aves, Passeriformes, Estrildidae.